Molecule: ribosomal RNA, 246 nt
Filed under: uncultured bacterium
Lineage: Bacteria
Description: partial 16S ribosomal RNA
Rfam family: Bacterial small subunit ribosomal RNA
Source: RNAcentral
UAACACGUGGGUAACCUGCCUUAUAGUGGGGGAUAGCCUUUCGAAAGGAAGAUUAAUACCGCAUAAGAUUGUAGUAUCGCAUGAUAUAGCAAUUAAAGGAGCAAUUCGCUAUAAGAUGGACCCGCGUCGCAUUAGCUAGUUGGUGAGGUAAUGGCUCACCAAGGCGACGAUGCGUAGCCGACCUGAGAGGGUGAACGGCCACAUUGGGACUGAGACACGGCCCAGACUCCUACGGGAGGCAGCAUG